Molecule: long non-coding RNA, 576 nt
Filed under: Setaria viridis
Lineage: Eukaryota; Viridiplantae; Streptophyta; Magnoliopsida; Poales; Poaceae
Description: long non-coding RNA (SVIR_LNC004281)
Source: RNAcentral
GGAAAGUAUACCUGGGUGGCUGGAGAUCAAGAUACAAGGGUCGGAUAGGAAGGAACUUGUGAUCAGACCCUUAAAUUUAGAGGAGUAGAUGUGCUAGGGGUCCUCAGACUUAACACAGAGAAGUCCCCGAGUUUUACACAUAUACCCUCGGUUCAAGGAAAAAGAUGCAGCCGAGCCCUCAAGCGAGGCGGAGAAAGGGUCGGCGAAACAGACAGGGUCGGGCGAGACGGAACAGGGGUCGGGCGGAUAGACAGGGGUCGGACGAACAGAAGAGGUCGGAUGAAACGGGAAAAGGGUCGGCAGCUUACCUUCGGUUCACAGGUGAAGCUUGGGGUCGGAAGAGAGCAGACUUGGGCGGAGGAUGGAAACACGAAGACUGGGGCAGGCGAUGCCCGACGGUGCUUCUUGUGGACAACAAGCAAGCUUUAGCACAGCGCGGAGGAGCAAGCGGUUGGGUGGAUUGGAAGGGGUGGCCGGGGAGCGGAGAGGAGAGUUCCGCAGGGACUGAGGCGGUAGCGCUUUGAGCACGAACAGAGAGCAAGGCGGGAGGGCAGCGAUGGCGAAGGGGAACUCCGG